This 601-nucleotide ribosomal RNA is filed under the name uncultured bacterium. RNAcentral describes it as "bacterial SSU rRNA". It matches the Rfam family "Bacterial small subunit ribosomal RNA", at positions 185 to 804 of the family's 1533-position model. The record is from RNAcentral.
GUCGCAUGAUACAGUGUGAAAACACUCCGGUGGUAUGAGAUGGACCCGCGUCUGAUUAGCUAGUUGGUGAGGUAACGGCCCACCAAGGCGACGAUCAGUAGCCGGCCUGAGAGGGUGAACGGCCACAUUGGGACUGAGACACGGCCCAAACUCCUACGGGAGGCAGCAGUGGGGAAUAUUGCACAAUGGGGGAAACCCUGAUGCAGCGACGCCGCGUGAGUGAUGAAGUAUUUCGGUAUGUAAAGCUCUAUCAGCAGGGAAGAUAAUGACGGUACCUGACUAAGAAGCACCGGCUAAAUACGUGCCAGCAGCCGCGGUAAUACGUAUGGUGCAAGCGUUAUCCGGAUUUACUGGGUGUAAAGGGUGCGUAGGUGGCAAGGCAAGUCUGAAGUGAAAAUCCGGGGCUCAACCCCGGAACUGCUUUGGAAACUGUUUAGCUGGAGUACAGGAGAGGUAAGUGGAAUUCCUAGUGUAGCGGUGAAAUGCGUAGAUAUUAGGAGGAACACCAGUGGCGAAGGCGACUUACUGGACUGCUACUGACACUGAGGCACGAAAGCGUGGGGAGCAAACAGGAUUAGAUACCCUGGUAGUCCACGCCGUA